RNAcentral lists this ribosomal RNA (253 nucleotides) under uncultured bacterium. Its description in RNAcentral is "partial 16S ribosomal RNA". It matches the Rfam family "Bacterial small subunit ribosomal RNA", at positions 524 to 776 of the family's 1533-position model. The record is from RNAcentral.
UACGGAGGGUGCAAGCGUUACUCGGAAUCACUGGGCGAAAAGGGCGCGUAGGCGGCCUGUCAAGUCGGGUGUGAAAGCCCGGGGCUCAACUGCGGGAUUGCACUCGAAACUGGCAGGCUAGAGUCCAGCAGGGGAAAGUGGAAUUCCCAGUGUAGCGGUGAAAUGCGCAGAUAUUGGGAAGAACACCGGUGGCGAAUGCGGUUUUCUGGGCUGAGACUGACGCUGAGGUGCGAAAGCUAGGGGAGCGAACAGG